RNAcentral lists this ribosomal RNA (331 nucleotides) under uncultured eukaryote. Its description in RNAcentral is "partial 18S ribosomal RNA". It matches the Rfam family "Eukaryotic small subunit ribosomal RNA", at positions 1470 to 1796 of the family's 1831-position model. The record is from RNAcentral.
CCCUUAGAUGUUCUGGGCUACACGCGUGUUACACUGAUACAUUCAACAAGUAUUAAAUCCCUCACUCGAUAGAGUUGGGUAAUCUUUUAAAUAUGUAUCGUGAUGGGGAUAGAGCAUUGUAAUUAUUGCUCUUGAACGAGGAAUUCCUAGUAAGUGCAAGUCAUUAACUUGCGCUGAUUACGUCCCUGCCCUUUGUACACACCGCCCGUCGCUCCUACCGAUGAAUGGUCCGGUGAGGACUCGGGAUGACCUUUGAGUUAGAUUUUUUCUUCUCACUGUUUGUCAGAACUUGUUCAAACCUUAUCAUUUAAAGGAAGGAGAAGUCGUANCA